Molecule: small RNA, 224 nt
Filed under: Arabidopsis thaliana (thale cress)
Lineage: Eukaryota; Viridiplantae; Streptophyta; Magnoliopsida; Brassicales; Brassicaceae
Description: ATSL028150
Source: RNAcentral
AAGAAGUUAAUCUAUUUAUGUCAACAUCUGAUCGAUAGACUUGACACAUGGCACAAUCUUAUGAGUUACUCAUUUUCAAAAUCGUACUUUUUAUAAUAAGAUUUGAGAAAGAAAAACAAAUAAAUUAGAUAAUAAGAUAAAAAUAUGAUUGAAAUUAAUUAGAUAAUAUUUGAUAGAUAUCUUAUAAAAAUAGCUGCAUGGAGUAUAAAGAAAAUCUAAAAUGU